This is a long non-coding RNA of Physella acuta, 628 nucleotides long. RefSeq lists it as uncharacterized. Lineage: Eukaryota; Metazoa; Mollusca; Gastropoda; Physidae. The record is from RefSeq and is a predicted model, not a curated record.
CCCGCCAUUGGCUGAACGUCUGCUUCUCCAACUUGCACCAGGGAAUGCUGGGUAAUUAGCCACACCCAACUUCCCCGGGGGUGAGGAGAUUUUUGUCAGUUGAACAUUGUCUGGAGAUCUGAACACACGAGUUUUAACAUUUCAUCUUUUGAUACAGAUUCUAAAGGUCAAGGUCAAGCCAUGCUGCGUGUCCUGGUCCUGGGCUGUCUGCUGCUGACGGCCGGCCUGCACGAGACUGACGCCGAGUGUCUGGAAGACUGCAGGAAGGUCGAGGACUGCAUGCUCAUCACCGGCCUGCCCAUGAUGUUUGGUCCUCCCUUUGGCGCCAGGUGCAUGCAGAAGAUGCUGGACUGCCAGGAGAAAUGUAAACACGGAAAAGAUUAGAGAAAACAGCGAAAUAAAGCGAACUCUUUAUAGUUUUUUUUCGAAGUAAAAGACUUUAAGAUAACUCUGUUCAGGUUUCCGAAUUAUCUUUGUUACCUCCCUUUAACUCUACCAAAUUAAUGGUUAAAAAGUAGAACAAAUUAUUAUUUGUAUUUUUGUAUCGUGAAAAUGAAAUAAGAGUCAGUUGGUUAAUAAUCUAAAUGUAAAGAGUUAUUUAUUUAAAAAUAAAAAGUCUUUCAUUCAA